CUAGCUACUUUCUUUCCGGAGAUAUGUUCGAGGGAACGCUACAAAGGUAUUGCAACGCCCUCUUGAGUAAAUGACGCUCAAACGUCAUGAUAAUUGAAGUUCAAUUAUUGGCUUCCGGGCACUUCCGUAUACUCAUAAAGCUUAGUAAAAGAUGUUCUGGAGAAGACAAGUUAGUUAGAUGAAGGCUAGGCGUUCUAGGACUCUCUAGCUAGCUAGUAUAGAUAUGUAGCUGGAUUACUUGGCACCUAGGAAGGAUCUUCGAAGAAAUAAAGAGACAAAGACUCCCGUCCCUCGAAUGGUAAGCUCUCAUGUCUUGUUAUAAGCUUGUACUUAUUAACUGUGUAAUGUAUCAGUCUUAUAAAAGAUCCCUCACUUGUAUUGAGCCUACAGAAAGUGUCUCUGUCCUUCAUACAGCUUAAAGGAAGCCUAAGUGAUCUAUUAUAGGUAGUCUUUCACUUAGUAUUCGUCCGUAUUGAUCUAAGGCUUGAUCCAACUUAUUAGUAGCUUUAUAAGAAGCUUUCCUCCUUUAAUUUAGUACUGGUAUCACUGCCAUUGUGCUUAGUAGUAACAGGCCUGAUGGGAUGGGUGAUCACAUCAUGGAGGGCCCAGGAAACUGCGUGGAAUUGUCGUAUAACAUUUAUAUUGAUGGUUCCCCCAGGUGGUGGUAAGUGUCGGAGGCCUGAGAAACGCUAGUCUAUUGGCUAGAAUGUUGUUAUGGAGUGUUUAUGAGGACAAGUGGCACGGGAUACGUACAUCUAAAGAAACAAGAGUGGAUCUACGCCAAGCUAGCUAGCUAGAUAGCUGCUCUUUCUAAUCUAUUUCUGUUGCUAAAUUAUGUUUGUUAAGAAGUGGAACUAUAAUAUACCUGGCUCCUCUUGAUGAUUGUAAGUACUGGGCUGAUGAAAUAGUCCUGUACAAGUUGUCAUCUUUAUUUGUUAAAAAUAAUUAACAAUAAUAGGGAAAUUCCCAGGGAAUUUCCCCUCACGUA
Molecule: long non-coding RNA, 988 nt
Organism: Halichondria panicea
Lineage: Eukaryota; Metazoa; Porifera; Demospongiae; Suberitida; Halichondriidae
Exons: 2
Source: RefSeq, a predicted model, not a curated record